This 240-nucleotide unclassified non-coding RNA is filed under the name soil metagenome. Its description in RNAcentral is "partial contains 5.8S ribosomal RNA, internal transcribed spacer 2, and large subunit ribosomal RNA". The record is from RNAcentral.
AACGAGGCCGACCUGCGGCUGAGUUACCUGCGGAGGGAUCAUUACUGAGUGUAAAAACUCCCAAACCCAUUGUGAACAUACCACUGUUGCUUCGGCGGAUACGCCCCGGGCGCGCUCUUCACAGGGCGUGCCCCGGAACCAGGCGCCCGCCGGGGGACCGAAACUCUUGUUUUCUUAGGAUCUCUGAGUGUGAUUAUUAAAUAAAUCAAAACUUUUAACAACGGAUCUCAGAUCGGAAGA